GACGAACCGUGCGAACGUUAUUCGGAAUCACUGGGCUUAAAGCGCGUGUAGGCGGGCGGUAUGUCGGCGACUGAAAGCCCCCGGCUCAACCGGGGAAGGGGUGCCGAAACGGCCGGCCUGGAGGGGCGGUAGGGGGACCGUGGAACUUCCGGUGGAGCGGUGAAAUGCGUUGAGAUCGGGAAGGAACGCCCGUGGCGAAAGCGAGGUCC
RNAcentral lists this ribosomal RNA (209 nucleotides) under uncultured bacterium. RNAcentral describes it as "partial 16S ribosomal RNA". It matches the Rfam family "Bacterial small subunit ribosomal RNA", at positions 524 to 728 of the family's 1533-position model. The record is from RNAcentral.